Molecule: long non-coding RNA, 432 nt
Organism: Melitaea cinxia (Glanville fritillary)
Lineage: Eukaryota; Metazoa; Arthropoda; Insecta; Lepidoptera; Nymphalidae
Exons: 2
Source: RefSeq, a predicted model, not a curated record
GUGCUUCACAGUCUUCACGCCAAUUGCUACACAAAAUGAUGUCUCGCACAAGCUUAAUACUUCUCCUUAUCUGUUUUGUGUGCGUCGCCGAGAUUACAAAUGGGCAUGUCACUGAGGGAGGAAGAUUUGAACGAGCUGCAGCCCAUAAAACAUGUUCGAAGAAAGGCGAAUCUUGUAAAAGCUAUGAUGAUUGCUGCGGUGGUCAUUGUAUACCAUUCAAGUGGAAAUGCGCUUCUUAAAUAAUUUUGUUUCAAAUGAAUCAAAUAUUAUAUUACUUAAUAAUUUUACGAAUCGGGUCAAGGGUUAAGAUUGGUUAAAUCAAGUGGUUUUUCUUAAAAUUAUUCUAUCAAUUAUAAAUCUGGAAUAAUACAGUUUAAUUAUAUAUAUUUGUAAUGUUAUAUUGUUAAUACAAUAAAUUGUAAAUGAAAUCUA